UACAGAGGUGGCAAGCGUUGUUCGGAAUUACUGGGCGUAAAGGGCGCGUAGGCGGUCCUCUAAGUCUUGUGUGAAAUCCCUCGGCUCAACUGAGGAACUGCACGGGAUACUGGAAGACUUGAGUUCGGGAGAGGGAAGCGGAAUUCCGGGUGUAGCGGUGAAAUGCGUAGAUAUCCGGAGGAACACCGGUGGCGAAGGCGGUUUCCUGGACCGACACUGACGCUGAGGCGCGAAAGCUAGGGGAGCAAACGGG
RNAcentral lists this ribosomal RNA (253 nucleotides) under uncultured bacterium. RNAcentral describes it as "partial 16S ribosomal RNA". It matches the Rfam family "Bacterial small subunit ribosomal RNA", at positions 524 to 776 of the family's 1533-position model. The record is from RNAcentral.